RNAcentral lists this ribosomal RNA (253 nucleotides) under uncultured bacterium. RNAcentral describes it as "partial 16S ribosomal RNA". It matches the Rfam family "Bacterial small subunit ribosomal RNA", at positions 524 to 776 of the family's 1533-position model. The record is from RNAcentral.
UACGUAGGGUGCGAGCGUUAAUCGGAAUAACUGGGCGUAAAGGGUGCGCAGGCGGUUAUACAAGUUGGUAGUGAAAAGCCUGGGCUUAACCUGGGUCGUGCUAUCAAAACUGUAUGACUAGAGUAUGUAAGAGGGGGGUGGAAUUCCAAGUGUAGCAGUGAAAUGCGUAGAGAUUUGGAGGAACACCGACGGCGAAGGCAGCCCCCUGGUAUAAUACUGACGCUCAGGCACGAAAGCGUGGGUAGCAAACAGG